RNAcentral lists this transfer RNA (70 nucleotides) under Striacosta albicosta (western bean cutworm). RNAcentral's name for it is "tRNA-Leu". Lineage: Eukaryota; Metazoa; Arthropoda; Insecta; Lepidoptera; Noctuidae. The record is from RNAcentral.
ACUAUUUUGGCAGAAAAAAUGUAAUGAUUUUAGAGUUCAUUAAUAUAUAAAUUUAAUUAUAUAGAUAGUA